UAUGCGAUGUGUAAAACACACAAUGGCCUGAAUAAGGAGCUAAGUAUAUAAGUGCAAACAAACCCGUUUUUAUAGUUCCAUGGCAUUUUGAAUGCAGCUUUAAGCCUAAAGGACACUCUCCUUCUUGCAGAUGAAGAUGGGGAAUGUAACAUUCUAUUAUCUUGCUUUGGAGUCAUGGGAAUUUUGAACAGUGGUAUGAGAAAGGCUACAAUUUGAAGUAUCUGUUAAAUACAGCAACAUGACGUCACAAGAUAUGUAACCUUUCAGCUGAGAAGAUACAUAUGAAACCAGAACCAUCCUGAAAACUAUGAAGAAAUGAUCCUUACAUUCAAAGGAAAACAAUGUAGAGAGUAAACAAUUAUUAACAAUUUCUACUGGGAGCUUAAAGCAGAUUCUUUUUCUCUUCCUGUUUUUAUUUUUCCUUAUCAUUCACACAGAGUUCUUCUGUUAUUUUCUUCUUGAAUAGUGUUAGUGGGCUGAUGACAUAAAAGUGUGAAGUGCUAACGUGAUGGAAUUAUCAGAAAAGAUACUGUCCUUAGUUAUAUUUAUUCUUAUUUGGAGAUUAGUACACAAACCAUUUUCAAUUUUUUUCUUUAAACCUCACUCACCAUCUAGAGCUGUAUAGAAAAUGCUUAAAUUCAUUCAUGUAGUCAUUCAUUCAAUGAUGAUUUAUUAAGCACUUAUUAUGUGCCACAUGCUAUUCUCAAUAUAAUACUAAGCAAAAGAAUCACUUUGCCCUCAUGGAGAUUACUGUUGACUGGAAGAGAUGAACGUAAAUCAAAUCAUCAUAUACGAUGAUAAAAGCUAGGAAAAGGCAAAGUGUACGAGGGCAUAAGAAUUCUGCUUUGGGAAGUCACAGAAAAACUCCCUAUAGAAGUGAAAAUUAAGCUGAAGGCAAAGCAUAAAUAGAAGUUAUCUGGUGGAAGAGGACAGAAAAGAGCAUUCUAGGCAGAAAAUAUUUAGUUAAAUAUGUUGACAUAGACAGGGCUUAAUAUGAGUUUACUGUCAACAUAUAAAAGUAAAGAGUAGAAUAAUUGCUUACCCAAAUGCUACAACUAACUUUACAUUAAAUAUGUAUUCCAAACUCCAAAAUUAUUAAGUUCACUCUAUUAGGGAAAUGAGAUCAUGAGUGGGUCUCUUUUCCGUGUCUUCCCUGUUUUUCUAAAUAUAGUUAAAAUACUUUUAUAUAAUAGGAGUAUUUUACAAAAAUAAAAAAGAUCAUUGUUACCUAUACUGUGUUUACCAAACAGCUUGUAUCUUUACUUUUUUAUUAAAGAAAAAAAAUGUUUAUCAUUCACCUUAUUUUCAAUCAGUAUAAAUUGAUUUUUCUAAAAAAUUCUACGUUCUUUAUAAAGCCCCCAUUUAUAACUUAUGCCAUUCUUGUCACAGAGGACAGCCUUAUAAGGGAAGAGGAUGAUGUGCCCUGCGAGGGACCUCUCGACCAGUCAGAAUGCUCAUUAUCAGUCCAAUUAUCCGCUGAUAAUUGGCCUGCCUGUGGGAAUAAUAGGCUGGGAUGAUUUAACUCACUGCCGACAUAUUCACAGCAUCCUACACACUGCAUUCAAAACUUCUUAACUUUUCCUUAAAUAAUGGAAGAAUCUAAUUCUAGCUGUUAGAAUAUUUUAUUUGCUCAACAUUGAACUUCCUGUGAACACGGAAGAACCACUCUGCUGAGACUCAGGGAAUGCCCCCUGUUUGUACUAAACUUCACAAUGUUGGCAAUAAAUCUCCCAUAAUGUCCAGCUUUCUUAUUUUGUCUGUAUACCAUAUUCUUCAAAAAGACAAGUCUCCCUUCUUGGACUCGGUGAAAUUUAGUCAUAGGAUAACACUCAAAGAAUGGAGUCACUUGGCUUGUAAAUGCUUACCAGCAUUUCAACACUUCUAGAUGGCUGGCUGAUGUCCAAAUGAGUCUACGGAAUGGCCAAGGAGAGGAAUUGUGAUGGAAUUUUACAGAGUGAUAGGGUAUUUGCUUUUGUGUGUUUCUUGAGAUAAUUAAGUUGAAUUAAGUUACACUCACGGGACCGUGUUUUAAAGUUUCCAAUUUGAGCUUAAAAUGUCGGGUUUUUUUGUUGUUGUUUUUUAAGUCUUGUGCUCCUGAAAAUUUGUUAGCGGGAUGGGGAUGUUUUCAUCCUUUAGGUCUCUCUCUUCUUUUUUUAGUUGCAUAAAUUUAUUUGUUUAAUAAAUAGUUCACACACUGGCCAGAAACCAAGUGGACAAAUUGUACUCACUAACCCUUUAAUACUUGGCUCCUUUGUCUAAUAACCCAGCCCAUUAUUAGAUAAUGAAAGAGUGUAUGAGAAAGUGGAGAUUAUUUAUGAUGGAAACAAAAUGAAACUAAUGGGACAAGAUUUGAAAGCUGUGAUGCAUGAAAGGUGCUAUGCAGGCCGCUCUGGCACCAUGACAAACAGAGAUAAAGGCUCAGUGGGAAGCAGCAGUGUGAACAUGACUAUGAAGAAAAUAGAAUGGAUUUCCUGAAUGAAGCCGUGCCAUCUGGUGUUUGUUUAAUACACAAUAAAGGUCAAAUGGCUACUGAUCCUUUUUUCUAUAGUCCAGUGACUAUAAGAAUGAGAGGAAUCAAUGAGUUUAUCGAUAUGUCUGGAAAUAACUCACCAUAUGAUCUGAUUGAGUCAAUAAAACUGAAGUAACUUGUCAUUGCUCUUCAGAUUUGGUUUGGAUCUAUGGCUACAAUUCUGUGUAUACACACACACACACACACACACAAUUUGCUGGAUCAAAUGUGACUCAUAUUUUUUUCAAGAGUAAUGUUUGGAAGCAUUUCAGUUUCUAGAUAUGUAGGCAUAAAAGGAACGGGCAGAAGGAAAGCUUUUCAUCAAGUUGAAUGUUUCCCCUAUUAUCAAAUAGACCUGUUAAACAUUCAUGUCUUGAUUGGUGGUGGAUUAAAGAAAUUUAUUUUUUUUUGUUUCCCUUUUCUAUGUACGCAAUUGAUUACACACCAAUUUUAUGUAAUGAUUCUUAGGGGACAUAUUAGCUUUUAGUGAAAUAUGUUUAUUAAGCAUUAUAUGUAAACAGCAUGCACUUUGGGAAUGUCACAUGUAAGUUGAACAUAUUAUUUUCUGUAGCAUCCUCUUUUCUUCAGGUCGUUCCAGUAAUGCACUUCCACGGUCUGAUCCUGAAACUCUGACCUUCCUGCUGAAGUUGCAGGGUUUUCUGUUGAGUUCUUUUCUAAAGACUAAAAUAAAAGACACUUUUCUCACAUUAAUAUUUCUCAGCUGCCAUGAAAACAGGGAUAGGAGAAGCCAAAAAUAGAGGAGCCAGCUGUGGGAGGCUGCUUUUUUUUUUCUUUUUCAGGACAACUCAGAAAAGUCUUUCAAAUUCAUUUUAUAGAUAGUGUGUUAAUGCAAAUAGUGUUUCACGCGCCUGCGUGCUAUACUUUAAAAGCUGGUAUGCACUCAAUUGUGAUACAGUGAAUGUUAUCUGACUGUUGUGGCAGCAGUACAAUUGUUAAGAUUGUCUCUGGGGUAGAUCCAUUUAGUAUUCUUUCUAUCUUCUCUUUUUGAAAAGACUUUACUGAAGCUGGUUAAUUAAAAUAAGAGUGGGGCGAUUAUGAAAAUAAUUCUCUUAUUCCUGAAGUGGACGCAGUGUGUUUUAUUCCAGAUGCCACAUAUUUUGUUGAUGAUUUGACUUUUUCGCUGGGAGUAUAAAAGUAUUACAUGCUCCCCUGACUUUAUAAAAAACAAAAUAAUAAUCACCCGUCAUGCCAGUGUGCUGAGGCACCAUGUUUAACACAUUGGCCUCUUUAUUUUUUCAAUCCAUUUUUUUCUUUACUUAACUGAGAUAAUACUGUAAAUACAAUUUUAUAACUUGAUUUUUUUUUUGCUUAAUAUUUCAUUCAAGUAUUUCGUGUUCAUGAAAUGUUUCCUGAUACCCCCAUAUCCAGGUAGACCGGCUACCCGCUUCCUUUGUGUUCCCGCUGUGCUGUGAUAUGUAUUCUAACAUAGUACCUUUAUUAUUGAUUUGUUGUUGACCAACUGUAAGAGCAUAGAAAGGAAGGGCCAACACUUUCUAUGUCUUUUGCAAUAUCAAAAAUAAGAGGCUACUGAUUAAAGGUAUAGGCCACAACAGAUGUUCACCUGAUAAUUAGAAUUGACUGUCUACUGGGGGUAUUAAGACAGAGGAUGAAAACAACAGAAAUUUUGUAAAAGUGUUUCCUGUAGUUGGUAGGAAUUUGGAUUCUAUAACAUCCUUAAAACUUCAAGAUACUAAAAUUUCAAGAUGCUAAUAUUCUAUUUGGUCGGCAGAUUAACUGCUUAAUGACUAGGCAUGCCUAGCCCUGAAGUGUAAAGCCAGUGAAUUUGUAUGGUUCAUUGCUGGGUAGAAAAUGACAUUGGCUUUUAUGGUCAAGUGGCCAUCAUUUUAU
Molecule: long non-coding RNA, 4378 nt
Organism: Hipposideros armiger (great roundleaf bat)
Lineage: Eukaryota; Metazoa; Chordata; Mammalia; Chiroptera; Hipposideridae
Exons: 3
Source: RefSeq, a predicted model, not a curated record